Molecule: ribosomal RNA, 253 nt
Filed under: uncultured bacterium
Lineage: Bacteria
Description: partial 16S ribosomal RNA
Rfam family: Bacterial small subunit ribosomal RNA
Source: RNAcentral
CACGUAGGGCGCAAGCGUUGUCCGGAAUUAUUGGGCGUAAAGAGCUCGUAGGCGGUCUGUUGCGUCCGCUGUGAAAACUCGGGGCUUAACCCCGAGCCUGCAGUGGAUACGGGCAGACUAGAGGUAGGUAGGGGAGAAUGGAAUUCCCGGUGUAGCGGUGAAAUGCGCAGAUAUCGGGAGGAACACCGGUGGCGAAGGCGGUUCUCUGGGCCUGUUCUGACGCUGAGGAGCGAAAGCGUGGGGAGCGAACAGG